Molecule: non-coding RNA, 73 nt
Organism: Podarcis lilfordi (Lilford's wall lizard)
Lineage: Eukaryota; Metazoa; Chordata; Lepidosauria; Squamata; Lacertidae
Source: the annotation of a GenBank genome assembly
GUUGGGAUAGCUCAGUUGGUAGAGCAUGAGCCUCUUAAUCCCAGGGUUGUGGGUUUGAGCCCCAUGUUUGACA